GAAUUAUAAAACAGAAUGGCACAAUAUAUUUAACUGACUUCCAUCUUCAAGCAAAGAGUUGUUCUCCAAAUGGCAAUUGGAAUUUGCAGCAACCUGAGUGAGGAGAGAGAUAAAUUGAAUAAUUGUUAGGCAAAAAUGAACCAGAACUUGAAGACUUGGAAAAUUACCAGCCUAUUUAUAUUGCAAAAUAAUACCAAAGAAUUUUGGGAAGAGAACAUCAAGGAUAUUGCUGGGCUACAAAGAUCUGCUAGAAAGAUUACAGUUACCAUGGUGCUGCAACUGGCUGAACAUGCUGUUACUAUGGAAACAACAGUGUAUUUCUCUGCAUCUCAUACAUUUUGGUACAUUCUUCAGAUCUUUUCUUCACAUGUGCAUUUAUUUUCAUAUGACAAAUAUGUAAUUAAAAGUUCUAUAGUUCUUGAGCAAUUAGGGCAACUUAGACAAUAUUUUCAUACUUACAGAACAAUUGAAAAUUAAUGACAGAAUAUACACAAUAUUGUAUAUUUUUACUCAUCUUCGUAUUCAACCAAAAAUUAUCAGCUUACUUU
Molecule: long non-coding RNA, 548 nt
Filed under: Homo sapiens (human)
Lineage: Eukaryota; Metazoa; Chordata; Mammalia; Primates; Hominidae
Description: HSALNT0374515
Source: RNAcentral